Molecule: ribosomal RNA, 274 nt
Filed under: uncultured bacterium
Lineage: Bacteria
Description: partial 16S ribosomal RNA
Rfam family: Bacterial small subunit ribosomal RNA
Source: RNAcentral
AUACGGAGGGGGUUAGCGUUGUUCGGAAUUACUGGGCGUAAAGCGUACGUAGGCGGACUGGAAAGUUGGGGGUGAAAUCCCGGGGCUCAACCCCGGAACUGCCUCCAAAACUUCCAAUCUAGAGAUCGUGAGAGGUGAGUGGAAUUCCAGGUGUAGAGGUGAAAUUCGUAGAUAUUUGGAGGAACACCAGUGGCGAAGGCGGCUCACUGGCUCGAUACUGACGCUGAGGUACGAAAGCGUGGGUAGCAAACGGAAUUAGAAACCCGGGUAGUCC